Molecule: ribosomal RNA, 460 nt
Filed under: uncultured bacterium
Lineage: Bacteria
Description: partial 16S ribosomal RNA
Rfam family: Bacterial small subunit ribosomal RNA
Source: RNAcentral
CCUACGGGGGGCAGCAGUGAGGAAUAUUGGUCAAUGGCCGGAAGGCUGAACCAGCCAUGCCGCGUGAAGGUCAGUGCCCUAUGGGCGUUAAACUUCUUUUGUGCGGGAGCAAUAAUGGUCACGUGUGGCCAGACGAGAGUACCGUACGAAUAAGCAUCGGCUAACUCCGGGCCAGCAGCCGCGGUAAUACGGGGGAUGCAAGAGUUAUCCGGAUUUAUUGGGUUUAAAGGGUGCGUAGGCUGUGAGGUAAGUCAGCGGGGAAAUGCCCCCGCUCAAAGGGGUGAAGUGCCAUUGAUACUGCCUUGCUGGAGUGCGGAAGACGUGGGAGGAAUGUGUGGUGUAGCGGUGAAAUGCAUAGAUAUCACACAGAACACCGAUUGCGAAGGCAUCUCACUGAUCCGCGAUUGACGCUGAGGCACGAAAGCGUGGGUAUCAAACAGGAUUAGAUACCCGAGUAGUC